Molecule: long non-coding RNA, 3687 nt
Filed under: Nicotiana tabacum (common tobacco)
Lineage: Eukaryota; Viridiplantae; Streptophyta; Magnoliopsida; Solanales; Solanaceae
Description: long non-coding RNA (NTAB_LNC002144)
Source: RNAcentral
GCAGGAUAAGAGCCAAAAUUAUAGAUGCAAUUAAAGGGAUGUAUCAUACACUAGAUAGUGACAGCCCGUGCCAGCAUAUAGAAGCUGAAACUUUUAUUUUUUAUCAAACUUUGAUUUGAUAUAAAACUACAGAUAACAAAAGUCGAGGCAUUUAGGUAACUAUCAAAUCAAAUAAUAAUACUAACUGAUCAACAUCCAUAUAGAAACAAAAUAUCCAUUCUCAGAUGUUGCAUAGUUGCAAGAAGACACAUUCUUUACAUUGAUACAGAUAAAAUGUGAUGCAUUCAUAAUGCUAUAAUGAACCUUCUCUGCAGUCUUUGACAAAAGAUAACGAUAAAAUGUGAUGCAUUCAUAAUGCAUAAUGAGUCUUCUCUGCAGUCUUUGACAAAAGACAACGGCAAUGUAGGCACCAGUAAAAGCAAUAAAUAAUGAUCAAGUGCCAAUCACCGUCUAACAUGACAAUACCAAUUUAUACCCAUGCAAGUACUUAUACUCAAUACCUUCAAUGUAUACAUAAAAAGCUCUCUUCUUGCAAAAAGGUCACAGGUUCUGCAAAUAGCUUAAACCUCACAUGGUAAUUAACUUGCAUUGUAAUUAAUACCUAAUGCAAGUGGGGGUGGGGGUGGGGGGGGGGAGAGAGAGAUAGAGAGAGGUGUCAAAUUCUUUUGUGUUAAAAGAUUGGCUUGUGUCGUACUCUUUUAUAAGAGGUAGACGCAAGGAAUGAAAUUAUCAAAUUAAAAAUUAGGAAUAUUGCCCCAAAUAAACUAAUUUCAAUAAAGCAAAUAAACACGGGGAUAACAAAUAAAUUUAUUGAGAGUUCACAAUGCGAUGAAAGCUGAGACGUUAAUAAGACAAAUGCUUUGUUGUUGCAAUUUCCGCCCAUGCAUAAAAGCAAUAAGCACAUCUUCUGAAACUUAAAAUUAAAGCUACUAGUAGGUUACCAAAAGAAGAAACCAUUAUUCAUAUUGAAUUAAGAAAAUGAGCAAACUUCAUAACAAAAAAAAAAGAGCAAUUGUUCUGUAAAAAAAAAAGAAUUUUUAUCUCAGAACAUUUAAUCUAUUUCUACCACACUACUAAGAAAAAGAAUUAGCAUAGAGCCUUAGUAUAUUUGGAGCAACUCAGAAAAUUUGUCACGUCGACUUCGGAAUUGGUAGCUACUAUUAGUAAGUAGUGAGACAGAGAAGAUAACUUUGGUUCAUUAAGUAAAUUAACACACCCUUAACGUUUUAGCAAAAUCGCAACUUUAAGUCGUCCCUUGAUUACCUUGACUUCAAAACCCAGUACAUCUCAACUGAUGGAAUUGCUAGUUGAUUGUAUCAUCACAAAGUUGUAUCGCAAAUAUAUUAUUAGCAAGAAAAACAGAGCUAAAGCGUAAAUUGACCUAUAUUGCACUAUUAUUCACCUAAGUAUAUUAUUACACUUCAAGUAAUACUAUCAUACCAUGGACUAGGGGUGUACAUAGGUCGGGUUGGUUCAGAUUUUAUAAUUAUCAAACCAAACCAAUUGUGUCGGGUUAUUAAAUCUAAAGACCAAACCAAACCAAUAAAACUCGGAUUUUUCACUCUCGGUUUUUCUCGGGUUUUCUCGAAUUUUCGGGUUAUUCGGGAUUUUUCCGGUAAAAUCUUCGUAGAACAAAACAUAUAAAUUGUGCUCAAAAUAUUUCUUUAGUCUUAGUAAGAUACAACUAUAUAAAGUAUUUUCCAAGAAAAUAAUACAAAAUAUGAGAUAUGACAUGGCAUUAUCCUAAAAUAUUCAACAAUAAAGACAAUAAAAUUAUGUAAUAUAAAUAUUGCUAAUUAAAAAGUCAUAAUAAAAUUAAUAUAAUCUAAAAGUAUUAAUAGCCUGUUUGGCCAAGCUUCUUUUUGGCCAAAAGUAUUUUUUUUUGGGCCAAAAGCACUUUUAGCCAAAAAUUGAGGUGUUUGGCCAAGCUUUUGGAAGGAAAAAAAAGUGUUUUUGAGGAGAAGCAGAAGCAGUUUUGGAGAAGCAGAAAAAAGUAAUUUCUAGCACUUUUUUUAUAAGCACUUUUGAGAAAAAUACACUUAGAAGCGAUUUUUUAAAGCUUGGUCAAACACUAAUUGCUGCUCAGAAGUGCUUUUCAAACUAAUUAGUCAAACACAAACUGCUUUUCACCAAAAGUACUUUUAAGAAAAGCACUUUUGAAAAAAAAAGCACUACUCAAAAUAAGCUGAUUUUUGCAGCUUGGCCAAACAGGCUAUAAGUCAUUCUAAAAUAAGUAGACUAAUAAGGAAGUAUUAAUUACAUGACUAAACGCUAAAGAAAAAAUAAAAAUAGGUUAUACAUUUUUAUCUAAAUUAUUGCAAAACAAAAAAAAAAUUAUUCAAUACAUUCCCUAGUAUUGAAUUGAAUGUCUUUUGUUAGUAUUACUAUUGAUUUGAUUUUGGUUUGAGCUUUUGUUAGCACUAUUUAAUUUACUAAUAUUAAUGGCUAUAAAACUUAUUGGAACAUUCAAAAGUUCUAAGUUCAACCUUGAAAUAAUACCUCAAAAGAUAAAAUUAUGAAAUCUUUUAAGAUAUAUUUAUAAAUUACAUCACAAUAAGUAUAUUUAUAUAUUAAAUAUAUCUAAAAUUUAUAUAUAUGUAAUGUCGGGUUGGUUUGGUUCGAUUUGACUUUCUACAGUUAAAACCAAACCAAACCAAUUAUGGUCGGGUUUUUUUUCCAAUACCAAACCAAAUCAAACCAAACCAUAGCCGGAUUGUUUUCUCGAUUUGACUCGAAUUAUCGGGUUAGUGCGGUUUGUCGGUUUCGUUUGUACACCCCUAGCAUGGACAUAUGUUUUACACUUUAACUUGAAAAGAAACUAAAUUUUGUUGAGGAGCUUUAGCGGAUAGGAGACACAAUCAUCGCCCACAAAUACACAGUGACAGACAUCCUAUCAAGCUGCCUAUACACCUCGUUUUAUCAGAUAGGUUUUUAAGUUUCCUAUUCACUUAAUCAAUAGAUUAAAAAAAGAAAAUAUCAGGUCGAUAAUAUUUAUUUUUUGAAAAAANNNNNNNNNNNNNNNNNNNNNNNNAAACUACAAAUUUAUAAAAGAAAUCUAAUACAAACGCUCCUGGCCAAAAAGCAACGAUGAUAUUUGUACUUCGAAAAAGAAUCGCAUGCUAAUAUUUCCAAACGCAUAUAAACAAAUAAAAAGAAUUUUAUCCAAUAAGCCGCAAGCGACUGCUUUUAAGAAAAUAUAUAUAGCCUGGUAUGUAAAGGCAACAAAAAACAACUAUAGAAAUCCCUAAAUAAAGAAUUCAAAAAAAAAAAAAAAAAAACAGGUUGAACUCACCGCAAGCGAGAACCAAAAAGCCUUAGACCCCAUCCUCAAUUUCCCGUUCAAGUAUUUAACAGAUAAAUUGGUGAUGAGCAAAGGAGAUUAGAAUAGAGUUGGUUCGAGCUCCAGGAAGAAGAGGAGGUUGAAGGAACCGAACAACAGAAGAGGAAGAUAACAAAAUAACCUUGCAAUUCCUUUUAGCUAUUGCCAAGUCGCGCACUUGAUCCUCUCUCAAUCUAGAUGACAGAUAGAAUUUUCAGAGGAAGGAUCGAGAAGUUUGAUUAGCAAGAGGGAAUAAGAUGGGAAACGUGGCAACUUUCCGGAAGACACGUCUCACAGGAGUGUAGUAAAAGUCGAUAUUACCCUUAAUUUUAAUCUUAUUGACAAGAAGCAGCCGGGUCGAAACCUGC